AAGUCGUAACAAGGUAACCGUAGGUGAACCUGCGGUUGGAUCAUUACCGAUUCCGUCCUUCGGGACACCCACACCUGUGAACUGUGCUGUUUUUUGGGUGCUCUUCGGAGUGCCCAGCAGUCUAACCACUGAAUCUUGGCUGAGAUAAAGUUUAAAUAGUAACAACUUUUGACAACGGAUCUCUUGGCUCUC
RNAcentral lists this unclassified non-coding RNA (192 nucleotides) under fungal sp. RNAcentral's name for it is "partial internal transcribed spacer region". The stretch from base 1 to 46 matches the Rfam family "Eukaryotic small subunit ribosomal RNA", at positions 1786 to 1831 of the family's 1831-position model. Lineage: Eukaryota; Fungi. The record is from RNAcentral.